UCUCUCCCUCUCCUUCUCUCUCCCCCGCCUGCCCCUCUCUCUCUCCCUCCCAGGGGUGACAUGGGGCUGUUUGAACAGCUGUGCUACUGAAGCUGAUGUGAAGGGAGAGGGGCCUCACCAUGAACAAGCUGAGACAGAGCCUGCGGCGGAAGAAACAGCCGUAUGUUCCUGAGGCCAGUCGGCCCCACCAGUGGCAGGCAGAUGAGGAAGCCGUUCGAAAGGGCAAGUGCAGUUUCCCAGUCAGGUACCUGGGACAUGUAGAGGUGGAAGAAUCACGAGGAAUGCACGUGUGUGAAGAUGCAGUGCAGAAACUCAAAGCU
Molecule: long non-coding RNA, 320 nt
Organism: Rhincodon typus (whale shark)
Lineage: Eukaryota; Metazoa; Chordata; Chondrichthyes; Orectolobiformes; Rhincodontidae
Exons: 3
Source: RefSeq, a predicted model, not a curated record